RNAcentral lists this ribosomal RNA (502 nucleotides) under uncultured bacterium. RNAcentral describes it as "partial 16S ribosomal RNA". It matches the Rfam family "Bacterial small subunit ribosomal RNA", at positions 28 to 507 of the family's 1533-position model. The record is from RNAcentral.
GACGAACGCUGGCGGCGUGCCUAAUACAUGCAAGUCGAACGAACCGCGACUAGGUGCUUGCACUUGGUCAAGGUGAGUGGCGAACGGGUGAGUAACACGUGGGUAACCUACCUCAUAGUGGGGGAUAACAGUCGGAAACGACUGCUAAUACCGCAUAGGACAUAGGAUCACAUGAUCCAGUGAGGAAAGGUGGCGCAAGCUAUCGCUAAGAGAUGGACCCGCGUUGCAUUAGCUAGUUGGUAGGGUAAAGGCCUACCAAGGCGAUGAUGCAUAGCCGACCUGAGAGGGUGAUCGGCCACAUUGGAACUGAGACACGGCCCAAACUCCUACGGGAGGCAGCAGUAGGGAAUCUUCCGCAAUGGACGCAAGUCUGACGGAGCAACGCCGCGUGAGUGAAGAAGGUCUUCGGAUCGUAAAGCUCUGUUGUUAGAGAAGAACAGCGCAUAGAGUAACUGUUAUGCGUGUGACGGUAUCUAACCAGAAAGCCACGGCUAACUACGUG